UAGAAUUUGGUGUAAUUGGGAGCACGGAGAGUUUUGGAUUCUUAGGGGUAGGUUCAAUUCCUAUAAUUCUAG
This 72-nucleotide transfer RNA is filed under the name Bos javanicus (banteng). RNAcentral describes it as "tRNA-Gln". It matches the Rfam family "tRNA". Rfam says of the family: Transfer RNA (tRNA) molecules are approximately 80 nucleotides in length. Their secondary structure includes four short double-helical elements and three loops (D, anti-codon, and T loops). RNAcentral also lists the same sequence under 2 other names. The record is from RNAcentral. Lineage: Eukaryota; Metazoa; Chordata; Mammalia; Artiodactyla; Bovidae.